GUGCCAGCCGCCGCGGUAAUUCCAGCUCUCAGAAUGCAUAGAACUAUUGCUGCGGUUAAAAAGCUCGUAGUUGGAUUCGUGUUCGGGCACUGGUCCUCGUCUUCAUUGACUUGGCACUGGUGAUCUGGGCUUAUGGUCGGUCUCUGCUCAUCGGAUUUCGGUCCUUCGGGUAGGUGCUGACGAGUUUACUUUGAACAAAUCAGAGUGCUCAAAACAGGCGUUCCGCUUGAAUGUUCGUGCAUGGAAUAAUAGAAGAGGAUCUCGGUCCGAUUUUAUUGGUUUUACGGUCGAGAUAAUGAUCAAUAGAGACAAACGGGGGCAUUCGUACUUCUGCGCGAGAGGUGAAAUUUUUGGACCGCAGAAAGACGCACUACAGCGAAAGCAUUUGCCAAGCUUGUCUUCGUUAAUCAAGAACGAAAGUCAGAGGAUCGAAGGAGAUUAGAUACCUCCGUAGUUCUGACCGUAAACGAUGCCGACUAGCGAUCUGUCGGCGGAGAUUCAUCGCCCCGAUAGGGAGCUUCCCGGAAACGAAAGUCUUCCGGUUCCGGGGGAAGUAUGGUUGCAAAGCUGAAACUUAAAGGAAUUGACGGAAGGGCACCACCAGGAGUGGAGCCUGCGGCUUAAUCUGACUCAACACGGGGAACCUCACCCGGGCACGACACCGUGGGGAUUGACAAACUGACAGCUUUUUCAUGAUUCGGUGGAUGGUGGUGCAUGGCCGUUCUUAGUUCGUGGAGUGAUCUGUCUGGUCUAUUCCGAUAACGAGCGAGACUCUAGUCUACUAAAUAGUACAGGCAUAGACUCGUGUCUGCGACUUCUUAGAGGGAUCAACGGCGUUUAGCCGAAAGAAAUUGAGCAAUAACAGGUCUGUGAUGCCCUUAGAUGUCCGGGGCUGCACGCGCGCUACACUGGCAAAAUCAGCGUGAUCCUGCUUCGAGAGGAGUGGGCAAACCCAUGAAAAUUUGCCGUGAUUGGGAUCGGAGAUUGCAAUUAUUCUCCGUGAACGAGGAAUUCCAAGUAAGUGUGAGUCAUCAACUCGCGUUGAUUACGUCCCUGCCCUUUGCACUCACCGCCCGUC
RNAcentral lists this ribosomal RNA (1078 nucleotides) under uncultured eukaryote. RNAcentral describes it as "bacterial SSU rRNA". It matches the Rfam family "Eukaryotic small subunit ribosomal RNA", at positions 564 to 1677 of the family's 1831-position model. The record is from RNAcentral.